Molecule: ribosomal RNA, 495 nt
Filed under: uncultured bacterium
Lineage: Bacteria
Description: partial 16S ribosomal RNA
Rfam family: Bacterial small subunit ribosomal RNA
Source: RNAcentral
GACGAACGCUGGCGGCGUGCCUAAUACAUGCAAGUAGAACGCUGAAGGAUGAGCUUGCUUCUCUGGAUGAGUUGCGAACGGGUGAGUAACGCGUAGGUAACCUGCCUGGUAGCGGGGGAUAACUAUUGGAAACGAUAGCUAAUACCGCAUAAUAGCAGUUGUUGCAUGACAACUGUUUGAAAGGUGCAAUUGCACCACUACCAGAUGGACCUGCGUUGUAUUAGCUAGUUGGUGGGGUAACGGCUCACCAAGGCGACGAUACAUAGCCGACCUGAGAGGGUGAUCGGCCACACUGGGACUGAGACACGGCCCAGACUCCUACGGGAGGCAGCAGUAGGGAAUCUUCGGCAAUGGACGGAAGUCUGACCGAGCAACGCCGCGUGAGUGAAGAAGGUUUUCGGAUCGUAAAGCUCUGUUGUAAGAGAAGAACGAGUGUGAGAGUGGAAAGUUCACACUGUGACGGUAUCUUACCAGAAAGGGACGGCUAACUACGUG